Molecule: long non-coding RNA, 685 nt
Filed under: Sinocyclocheilus anshuiensis
Lineage: Eukaryota; Metazoa; Chordata; Actinopteri; Cypriniformes; Cyprinidae
Description: lncRNA (ENSSANG00000048790.1)
Source: RNAcentral
GAAUGGCCUCAGAUCAUUUACACAAAUGAUUUUUACACUUCUGUAUACACAGAUGAUGUUGGUCUUGGUUUUAUUGGUUUGGACUUGGAGCUCCUGAACUCUAUCAACCAAAAACUGUCUCUUCUGGAUUUACUGAGGAAGGACAUUGGUGAAAUGAAGAGUGAUCUGGAGUCCACUCAAAAUCAAAUUACACUUUUACGAAUGGACAACAGAACAAUCAAAGAGCCGAAGACUGUCGGUGUAAAGGUAAAACCAGCAGUCUCCAAGGAAAAGGUCAAAACAGCAAAAAAAGACCAUGAUGCUCUGGUGAACGUUACUAAGAUGACAGCACAUAUUAAAGCAGAACGUGAUGCACUGAAAAACAUCAGUAAACCAGCACCUGCAAAGAAAGAUAAAGAGGCUCCAAAAGCUAAGAUCAGACCAGAGCCCAAAAAGAAAGGUAAAAUAUAUAUCUACUGUUAAGAAUUGAAAUCACCCACCACAAUCACUUUCUUCUAGUUUUCUAAGGGAGUGCUAUGUAAAAACAUAAGGUGUUCUUAUUGUUGUGUCAGUGACUAAAAAUCUCUCUCCUGAUGCUAGAAAUCACCCAUGAGGAGGUCAAACAAGUAAAGGAACCUUUACAGAAAGGUACAAUGGCUGAUUGUGUUAUGGCUAAUUUACCAACACAGACUUUACUUACACAGAC